Molecule: ribosomal RNA, 1480 nt
Filed under: Citrobacter sp. wls707
Lineage: Bacteria; Pseudomonadati; Pseudomonadota; Gammaproteobacteria; Enterobacterales; Enterobacteriaceae
Description: partial 23S ribosomal RNA
Rfam family: Bacterial large subunit ribosomal RNA
Source: RNAcentral
GGGUUGUGAGGUUAAGCGACUAAGCGUACACGGUGGAUGCCCUGGCAGUCAGAGGCGAUGAAGGACGUGCUAAUCUGCGAUAAGCGCCGGUAAGGUGAUAUGAACCGUUAUAACCGGCGAUUUCCGAAUGGGGAAACCCAGUGUGAUUCGUCACACUAUCGUUAACUGAAUACAUAGGUUAACGAAGCGAACCGGGGGAACUGAAACAUCUAAGUACCCCGAGGAAAAGAAAUCAACCGAGAUUCCCCCAGUAGCGGCGAGCGAACGGGGAGCAGCCCAGAGUCUGAAUCAGCAUGUGUGUUAGUGGAACGGUCUGGAAAGUCCGACGGUACAGGGUGAUAGUCCCGUACACAAAAAUGCACAGGUUGUGAACUCGAAGAGUAGGGCGGGACACGUGGUAUCCUGUCUGAAUAUGGGGGGACCAUCCUCCAAGGCUAAAUACUCCUGACUGACCGAUAGUGAACCAGUACCGUGAGGGAAAGGCGAAAAGAACCCCGGCGAGGGGAGUGAAAAAGAACCUGAAACCGUGUACGUACAAGCAGUGGGAGCAUCCUUCGGGGUGUGACUGCGUACCUUUUGUAUAAUGGGUCAGCGACUUAUAUUCUGUAGCAAGGUUAACCGUAUAGGGGAGCCGAAGGGAAACCGAGUCUUAACUGGGCGUUAAGUUGCAGGGUAUAGACCCGAAACCCGGUGAUCUAGCCAUGGGCAGGUUGAAGGUUGGGUAACACUAACUGGAGGACCGAACCGACUAAUGUUGAAAAAUUAGCGGAUGACUUGUGGCUGGGGGUGAAAGGCCAAUCAAACCGGGAGAUAGCUGGUUCUCCCCGAAAGCUAUUUAGGUAGCGCCUCGUGAACUCAUCUUCGGGGGUAGAGCACUGUUUCGGCUAGGGGGUCAUCCCGACUUACCAACCCGAUGCAAACUGCGAAUACCGAAGAAUGUUAUCACGGGAGACACACGGCGGGUGCUAACGUCCGUCGUGAAGAGGGAAACAACCCAGACCGCCAGCUAAGGUCCCAAAGUCAUGGUUAAGUGGGAAACGAUGUGGGAAGGCACAGACAGCCAGGAUGUUGGCUUAGAAGCAGCCAUCAUUUAAAGAAAGCGUAAUAGCUCACUGGUCGAGUCGGCCUGCGCGGAAGAUGUAACGGGGCUAAACCAUGCACCGAAGCUGCGGCAGCGACACUAUGUGUUGUUGGGUAGGGGAGCGUUCUGUAAGCCGUUGAAGGUGGCCUGUGAGGGUUGCUGGAGGUAUCAGAAGUGCGAAUGCUGACAUAAGUAACGAUAAUGCGGGUGAAAAACCCGCACGCCGGAAGACCAAGGGUUCCUGUCCAACGUUAAUCGGGGCAGGGUGAGUCGACCCCUAAGGCGAGGCCGAAAGGCGUAGUCGAUGGGAAACAGGUUAAUAUUCCUGUACUUGGUGUUACUGCGAAGGGGGGACGGAGAAGGCUAUGUCGGCCGGGCGACGGUUGUCCCGGUUUAAGC